AACGCUGGCGGCAGGCUUAACACAUGCAAGUCGAACGGUAACAGAACUAGCUUGCUAGUUGCUGACGAGUGGCGGACGGGUGAGUAACGCGUAGGAAUCUACCGAGUAGUGGGGGACAACAGUUGGAAACGACUGCUAAUACCGCAUAAUCCCUGAGGGGGAAAGGAGGGGAUCUGUUUACAGACCUUUCGCUAUUUGAUGAGCCUGCGUGAGAUUAGCUAGUUGGUGAGGUAAUGGCUCACCAAGGCGACGAUCUCUAGCUGGUCUGAGAGGAUGAUCAGCCACACUGGAACUGAGACACGGUCCAGACUCCUACGGGAGGCAGCAGUGGGGAAUAUUGCACAAUGGAGGAAACUCUGAUGCAGCGAUGCCGCGUGAGUGAAGAAGGCCUUUGGGUUGUAAAGCUCUUUCGUCGGGGAAGAAAAUGACUGUACCCGAAUAAGAAGGUCCGGCUAACU
Molecule: ribosomal RNA, 458 nt
Filed under: uncultured Pseudomonadota bacterium
Lineage: Bacteria; Pseudomonadati; Pseudomonadota
Description: bacterial SSU rRNA
Rfam family: Bacterial small subunit ribosomal RNA
Source: RNAcentral